Molecule: ribosomal RNA, 253 nt
Filed under: uncultured bacterium
Lineage: Bacteria
Description: partial 16S ribosomal RNA
Rfam family: Bacterial small subunit ribosomal RNA
Source: RNAcentral
UACGGGGGGGGCAAGCGUUGUUCGGAAUUACUGGGCGUAAAGGGUUUGUAGGUGGCUAUUUAAGUCAGACGUGAAAUCCCUCAGCUUAACUGGGGAACUGCGUCUGAUACUGGUUGGCUUGAGUGCAGGAGAGGAAUGCGGAAUUCCAGGUGUAGCGGUGAAAUGCGUAGAUAUCUGGAGGAACACCGGUGGCGAAGGCGGCAUCCUGGACCGAGAUUGACGCUGAGGCGCGAAAGCCAGGGGAGCAAACGGG